GGCGGCAGCUACACAUGCAGUCGAGCGGAACGAUCCUAGCUUGCUAGGAGGCGUCGAGCGGCGGACGGGUGAGUAACGCAUAGGAAUCUGCCCGGUAGUGGGGGAUAACCUGGGGAAACCCAGGCUAAUACCGCAUACGUCCUACGGGAGAAAGCAGGGGAUCUUCGGACCUUGCGCUAUCGGAUGAGCCUAUGUCGGAUUAGCUGGUUGGUGAGGUAAUGGCUCACCAAGGCGACGAUCCGUAGCUGGUCUGAGAGGAUGAUCAGCCACAUCGGGACUGAGACACGGCCCGAACUCCUACGGGAGGCAGCAGUGGGGAAUAUUGGACAAUGGGCGCAAGCCUGAUCCAGCCAUGCCGCGUGUGUGAAGAAGGCCUUCGGGUUGUAAAGCACUUUCAGUGGGGAAGAAAUCCUCGGGGCUAAUACCCUCGAGGGAGGACAUCACCCACAGAAGAAGCACCGGCUAACUCCGUGCCAGCAGCCGCGGUAAUACGGAGGGUGCGAGCGUUAAUCGGAAUUACUGGGCGUAAAGCGCGCGUAGGCGGCCUGAUAAGCCGGUUGUGAAAGCCCCGGGCUCAACCUGGGAACGGCAUCCGGAACUGUCAGGCUAGAGUGCAGGAGAGGAAGGUAGAAUUCCCGGUGUAGCGGUGAAAUGCGUAGAGAUCGGGAGGAAUACCAGUGGCGAAGGCGGCCUUCUGGACUGACACUGAUUUCUGAAGUGCCAAAAGCGUGGGCUAGCAAACAAGGAUUACAUACCCCGGGUAGUCCACCCCCGUAAACGAUGUCCAACUAACCCGUUGGGGCUCCUUGAAAACCUUUUGUGGCCCCACUUAACCCCGAUAAAGUCGACCGCCCUGGGGAAUUACCGCCCGCGAGGGUUUAAAAGCUC
RNAcentral lists this ribosomal RNA (888 nucleotides) under Halomonas sp. Its description in RNAcentral is "bacterial SSU rRNA". It matches the Rfam family "Bacterial small subunit ribosomal RNA", at positions 38 to 902 of the family's 1533-position model. The record is from RNAcentral. Lineage: Bacteria; Pseudomonadati; Pseudomonadota; Gammaproteobacteria; Oceanospirillales; Halomonadaceae.